Molecule: ribosomal RNA, 3005 nt
Filed under: Salmonella enterica subsp. enterica serovar Senftenberg
Lineage: Bacteria; Pseudomonadati; Pseudomonadota; Gammaproteobacteria; Enterobacterales; Enterobacteriaceae
Description: bacterial LSU rRNA
Rfam family: Bacterial large subunit ribosomal RNA
Source: RNAcentral
UUAAGCGACUAAGCGUACACGGUGGAUGCCCUGGCAGUCAGAGGCGAUGAAGGGCGUGCUAAUCUGCGAUAAGCGCCGGUAAGGUGAUAUGAACCGUUAUAACCGGCGAUACCCGAAUGGGGAAACCCAGUGUGAUUCGUCACACUAUCAUUAACUGAAUCCAUAGGUUAAUGAGGCGAACCGGGGGAACUGAAACAUCUAAGUACCCCGAGGAAAAGAAAUCAACCGAGAUUCCCCCAGUAGCGGCGAGCGAACGGGGAGGAGCCCAGAGCCUGAAUCAGCAUGUGUGUUAGUGGAAGCGUCUGGAAAGGCGUGCGAUACAGGGUGACAGCCCCGUACACAAAAGCGCAUGUGCUGUGAGCUCGAUGAGUAGGGCGGGACACGUGGUAUCCUGUCUGAAUAUGGGGGGACCAUCCUCCAAGGCUAAAUACUCCUGACUGACCGAUAGUGAACCAGUACCGUGAGGGAAAGGCGAAAAGAACCCCGGCGAGGGGAGUGAAAAAGAACCUGAAACCGUGUACGUACAAGCAGUGGGAGCCCCACCACUAAGCCAGUGGUGAACUCCACAUACGCAUCCUUUGCUGAGGAUACGGUUAACGGAGCGAAAGCGACGUUCAACCUCAAAAGAAGCAGAGGGGGCUUAGUGGUGGGGUGACUGCGUACCUUUUGUAUAAUGGGUCAGCGACUUAUAUUCUGUAGCAAGGUUAACCGUAUAGGGGAGCCGAAGGGAAACCGAGUCUUAACCGGGCGUUAAGUUGCAGGGUAUAGACCCGAAACCCGGUGAUCUAGCCAUGGGCAGGUUGAAGGUUGGGUAACACUAACUGGAGGACCGAACCGACUAAUGUUGAAAAAUUAGCGGAUGACCUGUGGCUGGGGGUGAAAGGCCAAUCAAACCGGGAGAUAGCUGGUUCUCCCCGAAAGCUAUUUAGGUAGCGCCUCGUGAACUCAUCUCCGGGGGUAGAGCACUGUUUCGGCUAGGGGGCCAUCCCGGCUUACCAACCCGAUGCAAACUGCGAAUACCGGAGAAUGUUAUCACGGGAGACACACGGCGGGUGCUAACGUCCGUCGUGAAGAGGGAAACAACCCAGACCGCCAGCUAAGGUCCCAAAGUCAUGGUUAAGUGGGAAACGAUGUGGGAAGGCCCAGACAGCCAGGAUGUUGGCUUAGAAGCAGCCAUCAUUUAAAGAAAGCGUAAUAGCUCACUGGUCGAGUCGGCCUGCGCGGAAGAUGUAACGGGGCUAAACCAUGCACCGAAGCUGCGGCAGCGACGCUGAUGCGUUGUUGGGUAGGGGAGCGUUCUGUAAGCCUGCGAAGGUGGCCUGUGAGGGUUGCUGGAGGUAUCAGAAGUGCGAAUGCUGACAUAAGUAACGAUAAAGCGGGUGAAAAGCCCGCUCGCCGGAAGACCAAGGGUUCCUGUCCAACGUUAAUCGGGGCAGGGUGAGUCGACCCCUAAGGCGAGGCCGAAAGGCGUAGUCGAUGGGAAACGGGUUAAUAUUCCCGUACUUGGUGUUACUGCGAAGGGGGGACGGAGAAGGCUAUGUUGGCCGGGCGACGGUUGUCCCGGUUUAAGCGUGUAGGUGUGUGUUCCAGGUAAAUCCGGUUCACUUUAACACUGAGGCGUGACGACGAGGCACUACGGUGCUGAAGCAACAAAUGCCCUGCUUCCAGGAAAAGCCUCUAAGCAUCAGGUAACAUCAAAUCGUACCCCAAACCGACACAGGUGGUCAGGUAGAGAAUACCAAGGCGCUUGAGAGAACUCGGGUGAAGGAACUAGGCAAAAUGGUGCCGUAACUUCGGGAGAAGGCACGCUGACAUGUAGGUGAAGUGAUUUACUCAUGGAGCUGAAGUCAGUCGAAGAUACCAGCUGGCUGCAACUGUUUAUUAAAAACACAGCACUGUGCAAACACGAAAGUGGACGUAUACGGUGUGACGCCUGCCCGGUGCCGGAAGGUUAAUUGAUGGGGUCAGCGCAAGCGAAGCUCCUGAUCGAAGCCCCGGUAAACGGCGGCCGUAACUAUAACGGUCCUAAGGUAGCGAAAUUCCUUGUCGGGUAAGUUCCGACCUGCACGAAUGGCGUAAUGAUGGCCAGGCUGUCUCCACCCGAGACUCAGUGAAAUUGAACUCGCUGUGAAGAUGCAGUGUACCCGCGGCAAGACGGAAAGACCCCGUGAACCUUUACUAUAGCUUGACACUGAACAUUGAGCCUUGAUGUGUAGGAUAGGUGGGAGGCUUUGAAGUGUGGACGCCAGUCUGCAUGGAGCCGACCUUGAAAUACCACCCUUUAAUGUUUGAUGUUCUAACGUGGACCCGUAAUCCGGGUUGCGGACAGUGUCUGGUGGGUAGUUUGACUGGGGCGGUCUCCUCCUAAAGAGUAACGGAGGAGCACGAAGGUUGGCUAAUCCUGGUCGGACAUCAGGAGGUUAGUGCAAUGGCAUAAGCCAGCUUGACUGCGAGCGUGACGGCGCGAGCAGGUGCGAAAGCAGGUCAUAGUGAUCCGGUGGUUCUGAAUGGAAGGGCCAUCGCUCAACGGAUAAAAGGUACUCCGGGGAUAACAGGCUGAUACCGCCCAAGAGUUCAUAUCGACGGCGGUGUUUGGCACCUCGAUGUCGGCUCAUCACAUCCUGGGGCUGAAGUAGGUCCCAAGGGUAUGGCUGUUCGCCAUUUAAAGUGGUACGCGAGCUGGGUUUAGAACGUCGUGAGACAGUUCGGUCCCUAUCUGCCGUGGGCGCUGGAGAACUGAGGGGGGCUGCUCCUAGUACGAGAGGACCGGAGUGGACGCAUCACUGGUGUUCGGGUUGUCAUGCCAAUGGCACUGCCCGGUAGCUAAAUGCGGAAGAGAUAAGUGCUGAAAGCAUCUAAGCACGAAACUUGCCCCGAGAUGAGUUCUCCCUGAGACUUAGAGUCUCCUGAAGGAACGUUGAAGACGACGACGUUGAUAGGCCGGGUGUGUAAGCGCAGCGAUGCGUUGAGCUAACCGGUACUAAUGAACCGUGAGGCUUAACCUU